UCCUGACUGACCGAUAGUGAACCAGUACCGUGAGGGAAAGGCGAAAAGAACCCCGGCGAGGGGAGUGAAAAAGAACCUGAAACCGUGUACGUACAAGCAGUGGGAGCACGCUUAGGCGUGUGACUGCGUACCUUUUGUAUAAUGGGUCAGCGACUUAUAUUCUGUAGCAAGGUUAACCGAAUAGGGGAGCCGAAGGGAAACCGAGUCUUAACUGGGCGUUAAGUUGCAGGGUAUAGACCCGAAACCCGGUGAUCUAGCCAUGGGCAGGUUGAAGGUUGGGUAACACUAACUGGAGGACCGAACCGACUAAUGUUGAAAAAUUAGCGGAUGACUUGUGGCUGGGGGUGAAAGGCCAAUCAAACCGGGAGAUAGCUGGUUCUCCCCGAAAGCUAUUUAGGUAGCGCCUCGUGAAUUCAUCUCCGGGGGUAGAGCACUGUUUCGGCAAGGGGGUCAUCCCGACUUACCAACCCGAUGCAAACUGCGAAUACCGGAGAAUGUUAUCACGGGAGACACACGGCGGGUGCUAACGUCCGUCGUGAAGAGGGAAACAACCCAGACCGCCAGCUAAGGUCCCAAAGUCAUGGUUAAGUGGGAAACGAUGUGGGAAGGCCCAGACAGCCAGGAUGUUGGCUUAGAAGCAGCCAUCAUUUAAAGAAAGCGUAAUAGCUCACUGGUCGAGUCGGCCUGCGCGGAAGAUGUAACGGGGCUAAACCAUGCACCGAAGCUGCGGCAGCGACGCUUAUGCGUUGUUGGGUAGGGGAGCGUUCUGUAAGCCUGCGAAGGUGUGCUGUGAGGCAUGCUGGAGGUAUCAGAAGUGCGAAUGCUGACAUAAGUAACGAUAAAGCGGGUGAAAAGCCCGCUCGCCGGAAGACCAAGGGUUCCUGUCCAACGUUAAUCGGGGCAGGGUGAGUCGACCCCUAAGGCGAGGCCGAAAGGCGUAGUCGAUGGGAAACAGGUUAAUAUUCCUGU
This 969-nucleotide ribosomal RNA is filed under the name Escherichia coli. RNAcentral's name for it is "partial 23S ribosomal RNA". It matches the Rfam family "Bacterial large subunit ribosomal RNA", at positions 474 to 1442 of the family's 2925-position model. Lineage: Bacteria; Pseudomonadati; Pseudomonadota; Gammaproteobacteria; Enterobacterales; Enterobacteriaceae. The record is from RNAcentral. RNAcentral also lists the same sequence under 1 other name.